UACGUAGGGGGCAAGCGUUGUCCGGAAUCAUUGGGCGUAAAGAGCGCGUAGGCGGUCCGGUAAGUCCGCUCUGAAAGUCCGGGGCUCAACCCCGGGAGGCGGGCGGAUACUGUCGGGCUAGAGUCCGGAAGAGGCGAGUGGAAUUCCUGGUGUAGCGGUGAAAUGCGCAGAUAUCAGGAGGAACACCAAUGGCGAAGGCAGCUCGCUGGGACGGUACUGACGCUGAGGCGCGAAAGCGUGGGGAGCGAACAGG
This 253-nucleotide ribosomal RNA is filed under the name uncultured bacterium. Its description in RNAcentral is "partial 16S ribosomal RNA". It matches the Rfam family "Bacterial small subunit ribosomal RNA", at positions 524 to 776 of the family's 1533-position model. The record is from RNAcentral.